Long non-coding RNA from Talpa occidentalis (Iberian mole), 167 nucleotides. RefSeq lists it as uncharacterized. NCBI's taxonomy places the organism in Eukaryota, Metazoa, Chordata, Mammalia, Eulipotyphla, Talpidae. The transcript has 3 exons. The record is from RefSeq and is a predicted model, not a curated record.
GGAAAGAACAUCACCUAAAGAAACAAUGGUGCCUACCUCAUCAGAACCAUCUGCACAGUCAAAAUCUCCAUCGCACCAAAACCUUGAAGAAACACAAUCCCCAUUGGCACAGAGAAAAUCUUUCAACGUACAGGAGGCUGUUUAUUAAUGGAGGAGUGAGUCUAGCC